This 293-nucleotide signal recognition particle RNA is filed under the name Mus spretus (western wild mouse). RNAcentral describes it as "predicted gene, 24105 (ENSMSPG00010006925.1)". It matches the Rfam family "Metazoan signal recognition particle RNA". From Rfam's summary of the family: The signal recognition particle (SRP) is a universally conserved ribonucleoprotein. The record is from RNAcentral. Lineage: Eukaryota; Metazoa; Chordata; Mammalia; Rodentia; Muridae.
GCCGGGCACGGUGGCGCACACCUGUAGUCACAGCUACUCUGGAGGCUGAGACAGGAAGAUUACUUGAGUCCAGGAGUUCUGGGCUGUAGUGCUGAUCAGGUGUCCGCACUAAGUUCGGCAUCAAUAUGGUGACAUCCCGGGGACAGGGCACCACCAGGUUGCCUAAGGAGGGGUGAACCGGUUCAGGUCAGAAACGGAGCAGGUAAAAAUUCCCCGGGCUGAUCAGUAGUGGGAUCGCGCCUGUGAAUAGCCACUGCACUCCAGCCUGGGCAACACAUCGAGAACCCGUCUCU